RNAcentral lists this ribosomal RNA (498 nucleotides) under uncultured bacterium. RNAcentral describes it as "partial 16S ribosomal RNA". It matches the Rfam family "Bacterial small subunit ribosomal RNA", at positions 28 to 523 of the family's 1533-position model. The record is from RNAcentral.
GAUGAACGCUAGCGGCAGGCCUAAUACAUGCAAGUCGGACGGGAUUUGGGAGCUUGCUCCUAAUGAGAGUGGCGCACGGGUGCGUAACACGUAUGUAACCUACCUUAAUCAGGGGGAUAGCCUCUCGAAAGAGAGAUUAACACCGCAUAACAUAUUUUUAUGGCAUCGUAGAAAUAUCAAAUAUUUAUAGGAUUAAGAUGGGCAUGCGGAACAUUAGCUAGUUGGUAAGGUAACGGCUUACCAAGGCUACGAUGCUUAGGGGAACUGAGAGGAUGACCCCCCACACUGGGACUGAACCACGGCCCAGACUCCUACGGGAGGCAGCAGUAAGGAAUAUUGGCCAAUGGGCGCAAGCCUGAACCAGCCAUGCCGCGUGCAGGAAGACGGCCCUAUGGGUUGUAAACUGCUUUUGUACCGGAAUAAACCCUUUUACGUGUAAAAGGCUGAAUGUACGGUAAGAAUAAGGAUCGGCUAACUCCGUGCCAGCCGCCGCCGUAA